UACAGAGGGUGCGAGCGUUGUCCGGAAUCACUGGGCGUAAAGGGCGCGUAGGCGGUCCGGUAAGCGCGUGGUGAAAGCUCGGGGCUCAACCCCGAGUCGGCCGUGCGAACUGCGGGACUGGAGCAGAUCAGAGGCAGGCGGAAUUCCGGGUGUAGCGGUGGAAUGCGUAGAGAUCCGGAAGAACACCGGUGGCGAAGGCGGCCUGCUGGGAUCUUGCUGACGCUGAGGCGCGACAGCGUGGGGAGCAAACAGG
This 253-nucleotide ribosomal RNA is filed under the name Roseisolibacter sp. RNAcentral's name for it is "partial 16S ribosomal RNA". It matches the Rfam family "Bacterial small subunit ribosomal RNA", at positions 524 to 776 of the family's 1533-position model. The record is from RNAcentral. RNAcentral also lists the same sequence under 1 other name. Lineage: Bacteria; Pseudomonadati; Gemmatimonadota; Gemmatimonadia; Gemmatimonadales; Gemmatimonadaceae.